This 703-nucleotide unclassified non-coding RNA is filed under the name Leishmania donovani. Its description in RNAcentral is "gene:LdHU3.31.4720(CDS-product:ubiquinol-cytochro me-c_reductase-like_protein)". The record is from RNAcentral. Lineage: Eukaryota; Euglenozoa; Kinetoplastea; Trypanosomatida; Trypanosomatidae.
CCCACGGCGCAGCUCUCUUUGAUUAGCCCACAUUUCAGGAGUCCACCGGCCUUUUCGACUGCCCCGCCAUGGCGUCCGAUCCGGUAGACAUCAAACUGGACCUCGAGAAGGAGUGCCUGGCGAACGAGUGCGCCAAGAAGGUGGGCGCGUACAACGCGUGCCUGGAGCGCAUCAAGACCGUCAGCCCCGAGAAGGAGCCGCACUGCUACAACCAGUACUUUGCCAUCGUGCACUGCGUAGACGUGUGCGUCGACCCGAAGCUGUGGCCGACACUCAAGUAAGUGAGGGGUGUAGCAACGCAGUGAAGCUCGGAGAGGCAGUAGGGCGUGUCGUGCGAGCACGUCCGACGGCAGCUCCACGCGCGCUGUUGUGGGAUAGCGGCUGGCCGGCUGUCGCAUGAUGCCGCCUCCUGCAAAGUGGACAGAAGCCCCCCGCCCCCCGCCUCAAGCGAGCCGCGACCGCUUCGCACGGCUUCUUUCGAGUUCUGGAGGUGCUGACAGAGGUUCACGGGAUGGCGGCAGGGGAGUUGCGAUGUUGCUACGCGGACCCGCCGUCGGAUGAGCACGAUGACCUUUUAAACGUUUGUUUAUGUUUGGCACCCACGUAGUGCCUGAAUGAAAGCGGGGCACUCACAUAGUACAUUGCGUAGUCUAUAGGGAGGAAGAUGGCGCCCAGUUGUGGCGGGGUCUUCCACUUAACGCAG